AGACUCUACCCACAGGGGCCCAAAGUUACAGUCGAGCUGUUCUUGGAAAAGGGAAAGCUUGGGGCUAUGAGGAGGGGUGCAUCACUGUCUUUGAGACUGACCCAGAAUGGACAUGCUAAACACAACAAACUUAAGAAUGCUGGAGUCAUGAAAAGAAGUGCCGUUCAAGCUAAAAUGAGGAAACAGGACUCUGACUGGGAGAAGUACCUCAUCUCGUGCUACAUUUGAGUUACAAAAGGCAAA
Scomber japonicus (chub mackerel) is the source of this 243-nucleotide long non-coding RNA. RefSeq lists it as uncharacterized. The record is from RefSeq and is a predicted model, not a curated record. The transcript is spliced from 3 exons. NCBI's taxonomy places the organism in Eukaryota, Metazoa, Chordata, Actinopteri, Scombriformes, Scombridae.